Molecule: long non-coding RNA, 254 nt
Organism: Oncorhynchus keta (chum salmon)
Lineage: Eukaryota; Metazoa; Chordata; Actinopteri; Salmoniformes; Salmonidae
Exons: 3
Source: RefSeq, a predicted model, not a curated record
ACACCAGAGAGAGAAGGUGUAACCAUGGAUCUCCCUACUACACUAGAGAGAAGGUGUAACCAUGGAUCUCUCUACUACACUAGAGAGAAGGUGUAACCAUGUAUCUCCCUACUACACCAGAGAGAGAAGGUGUAACCAUGUAUCUCUCUACUACACCAGAGAGAGAAGGUGUAACCAUGUAUCUCCCUACUACACUAGAGAGAGAAGGUGUAACCAUGGAGCUCCCUACUACACUAGAGAGAAGGUGUAACCAU